GACGAACGCUGGCGGCGUGCUUAACACAUGCAAGUCGAACGGAAAGGCCCUGCUUUUGUGGGGUGCUCGAGUGGCGAACGGGUGAGUAACACGUGAGUAACCUGCCCUUGACUUUGGGAUAACUUCAGGAAACUGGGGCUAAUACCGGAUAGGAGCUCCUGCUGCAUGGUGGGGGUUGGAAAGUUUCGGCGGUUGGGGAUGGACUCGCGGCUUAUCAGCUUGUUGGUGGGGUAGUGGCUUACCAAGGCUUUGACGGGUAGCCGGCCUGAGAGGGUGACCGGCCACAUUGGGCCUGAGAUACGGCCCAUACUCCUACGGGAGGCAGCAGUGGGGAAUAUUGCACAAUGGGCGGAAGCCUGAUGCAGCAACGCCGCGUGCGGGAUGACGGCCUUCGGGUUGUAAACCGCUUUCGCCUGUGACGAAGCGUGAGUGACGGUAAUGGGUAAAGAAGCACCGGCUAACUACGUG
This 468-nucleotide ribosomal RNA is filed under the name uncultured bacterium. RNAcentral describes it as "partial 16S ribosomal RNA". It matches the Rfam family "Bacterial small subunit ribosomal RNA", at positions 28 to 507 of the family's 1533-position model. The record is from RNAcentral.